This 497-nucleotide ribosomal RNA is filed under the name uncultured bacterium. RNAcentral describes it as "partial 16S ribosomal RNA". It matches the Rfam family "Bacterial small subunit ribosomal RNA", at positions 27 to 506 of the family's 1533-position model. The record is from RNAcentral.
GGAUGAACGCUGGCGGCGUGCCUAAUACAUGCAAGUCGAGCGAACAGACGAGGAGCUUGCUCCUCUGACGUUAGCGGCGGACGGGUGAGUAACACGUGGAUAACCUACCUAUAAGACUGGGAUAACUUCGGGAAACCGGAGCUAAUACCGGAUAAUAUAUUGAACCGCAUGGUUCAAUAGUGAAAGACGGUUUUGCUGUCACUUAUAGAUGGAUCCGCGCCGCAUUAGCUAGUUGGUAAGGUAACGGCUUACCAAGGCAACGAUGCGUAGCCGACCUGAGAGGGUGAUCGGCCACACUGGAACUGAGACACGGGCCAGACUCCUACGGGAGGCAGCAGUAGGGAAUCUUCCGCAAUGGGCGAAAGCCUGACGGAGCAACGCCGCGUGAGUGAUGAAGGUCUUCGGAUCGUAAAACUCUGUUAUUAGGGAAGAACAAAUGUGUAAGUAACUAUGCACGUCUUGACGGUACCUAAUCAGAAAACCACGGCUAACUACGU